GACGAACGCUGGCGGCGUGCUUAACACAUGCAAGUCGAACGGAAAGGCCCUGCUUUUGUGGGGUGCUCGAGUGGCGAACGGGUGAGUAACACGUGAGUAACCUGCCCUUGACUUUGGGAUAACUUCAGGAAACUGGGGCUAAUACCGGAUAGGAGCUCCUGCUGCAUGGUGGGGGUUGGAAAGUUUCGGCGGUUGGGGAUGGACUCGCGGCUUAUCAGCUGGUUGGUGGGGUAGUGGCUUACCAAGGCUUUGACGGGUAGCCGGCCUGAGAGGGUGACCGGCCACAUUGGGACUGAGAUACGGCCCAGACUCCUACGGGAGGCAGCAGUGGGGAAUAUUGCACAAUGGGCGGAAGCCUGAUGCAGCAACGCCGCGUGCGGGAUGACGGCCUUCGGGUUGUAAACCGCUUUCGCCUGUGACGAAGCGUGAGUGACGGUAAUGGGUAAAGAAGCACCGGCUAACUAUGUG
This 468-nucleotide ribosomal RNA is filed under the name uncultured bacterium. RNAcentral's name for it is "partial 16S ribosomal RNA". It matches the Rfam family "Bacterial small subunit ribosomal RNA", at positions 28 to 507 of the family's 1533-position model. The record is from RNAcentral.